Molecule: ribosomal RNA, 301 nt
Filed under: uncultured bacterium
Lineage: Bacteria
Description: partial 16S ribosomal RNA
Rfam family: Bacterial small subunit ribosomal RNA
Source: RNAcentral
CAGUAGCCGCGGUAAUACAUAGGGUGCGAGCGUUAAUCGGAUUUACUGGGCGUAAAGCGUGCGUAGGCGGCUUCUUAAGUCGGAUGUGAAAUCCCUGAGCUUAACUUAGGAAUUGCAUUCGAUACUGGGAAGCUAGAGUAUGGGAGAGGAUGGUAGAAUUCCAGGUGUAGCGGUGAAAUGCGUAGAGAUCUGGAGGAAUACCGAUGGCGAAGGCAGCCAUCUGGCCUAAUACUGACGCUGAGGUACGAAAGCAUGGGGAGCAAACAGGAUUAGAUACCCGGGUAGUCCCUGUCUCUUAUAA